RNAcentral lists this small RNA (96 nucleotides) under Saimiri boliviensis boliviensis (Bolivian squirrel monkey). RNAcentral's name for it is "Y RNA (ENSSBOG00000000981.1)". Lineage: Eukaryota; Metazoa; Chordata; Mammalia; Primates; Cebidae. The record is from RNAcentral.
AGUGGUGUCCAUGAUGGUGGGUUAUCAUAUCUUAUGAAUGCCACUGUCACUAAAGUUGGUAUAUUACUCCCCACUGAUAAAUUGGACUAACUUAAA